This 525-nucleotide long non-coding RNA is filed under the name Pan troglodytes (chimpanzee). RNAcentral's name for it is "long non-coding RNA NONPTRT006237". Lineage: Eukaryota; Metazoa; Chordata; Mammalia; Primates; Hominidae. The record is from RNAcentral.
GUAGAGAUGGAGUUUUGCCAUGUUGCCCGGGCUGGUCUUGAACUCCUGAGCUCAAGCAAUCCUCCCGUCUUGGCCUCACAAAGUGCUGGGAUUACAGGUGUCAGCCACCAUGCCCGGCCCAUUUCUAUUGUUUUAAGCCAUCAAGUUUGGGUGGCAUCAUUUGUCACAGCUGCCACAGGAUACUAACACACCCAGAGACAGAAGACGGGAGGACAUAACUGCAUUAACACUGAGCUAGGAUCUGCACGCCUCAGGACUCUGCUCCCAGGACUACGGACCUCUGCGCCGAGUCAGAAGAACAGUUUCAGGAACCCGCUUGGAUAGUAGGGAGUGGAAAUGACCCCAGGUGACUGCAGCGGGACUCCUGGAAGGCAGAUAUUGGGAUGGGCUGACUGUGACUCUGCAUUAACCUCUUAUGAACCAGGGUGGAGACCACCCCAUCAGCUGCUUUCCAGAGCUAGGCUCUCACAGCUCAGCAGCCUGCUCACUGUUCACCAUGUGUCUCCUAUGUGGCAGCUUCUGGGG